RNAcentral lists this long non-coding RNA (327 nucleotides) under Elaeis guineensis (African oil palm). RNAcentral's name for it is "long non-coding RNA (EGUI_LNC012905)". Lineage: Eukaryota; Viridiplantae; Streptophyta; Magnoliopsida; Arecales; Arecaceae. The record is from RNAcentral.
AUGAAUGAAAGACACAAGAGAAUUAUCAUUUAUCCUAGAAGGAGACAUAGAAGAUGAAGCCGUUGGGACAGGAGAGGAAGACCUGGAGAUUGGAGAAUGCGCAAUAGGCUUUGAGAGGGGAGGUAAAAUAGGUGAAACUGAAGCAACAGGCUGUAACAGAGACUCGGACAUUUUUUCUUGAGUGUCAAAAUCAGUAUUAACAGAAAUAAACUCUCUCUGAGUGUCAGAACCACCAUCUAUAGUAGUAGAACUACCAACAUCCAUAACAAUAGGACCUUCUCCAGUAAAGAACUCUCCCUCUCAACCAGUACUAUAGGUGACGGGAGA